GUGUUUCCAAUGUUAUUUAAAGAAGUGAUAGAAUGAUUUGUGUAUGUCAUAUAACAAGGGACAAAAUCUGUGGCAAUUUUUUAUCCAUCAAAGAUCCGAGUAGAUAUAUGUGACAUGCUGAAAGCACAAGACAGACUUUGUAUCUUUCCAUAAAUUCUAGUCUGUUGGGUGUAUCCAUUGGCAACAUAAUGUGCAAUCCUUUGUCCUAAAUAGUUGGUUAGUAGUACAGGUUCAUAAGUUUUUCUCUAACAAGAAGGUUUGGCUUGAGUUCAUCUCUUUGUACUCCCUUUAGGUUCUCAUU
RNAcentral lists this unclassified non-coding RNA (301 nucleotides) under Hevea brasiliensis (rubber tree). The record is from RNAcentral. Lineage: Eukaryota; Viridiplantae; Streptophyta; Magnoliopsida; Malpighiales; Euphorbiaceae.